AUGUUCCUGAUACACUAUACGUCCUGUACACAUAAUACGUAAAAGGGCGUGUACGAGUGUGAUGAACUGUAAAUGGGAAAUCGUGGACGCCACUCGGAGAAUUCGUGUGCAUUAUUACUUACGUCAUUUUAAGGAUGGGUAAUGUCGAGGGGUGGUCGGAAACGCGACGUACCAGGAAAUUAAUCCGAUUCAAGAUUAUGAUAAUGAAAACAUCGUGGCACGACGGAUGUCACCGAACACACUUACACUGCGGGCACACGACAGACGUCAGUGGUGAUAACACCCCUCGCCAACCAAUCACCACUACUAUUCAAAAACGAUUUCACCCCAAGUGAAUAUACACAACAGCCGUGGUGAAGAUUUUUAUACAAAUACAUUAUGCGCGUUAUGACCACGAGUACUUU
Long non-coding RNA from Rhopalosiphum maidis (corn leaf aphid), 404 nucleotides. RefSeq lists it as uncharacterized. Lineage: Eukaryota; Metazoa; Arthropoda; Insecta; Hemiptera; Aphididae. The transcript is spliced from 3 exons. The record is from RefSeq and is a predicted model, not a curated record.